AACUUUCGACAACGGAUCACUUGGUUCUCGCAUCGAUGAAGAACGCAGCGAAAUGCGAUACGUAAUGUGAAUUGCAGAAUUCAGUGAAUCAUCGAAUCUUUGAACGCACAUUGCACUCCUUGGUAUUCCGAGGAGUAUGCCUGUUUCAGUAUCAUGAGCACUCUCACAACUAACCUUUGGGUGAAAUUGUGGAAUUGGAAUGCGCUGAUUUUAAUAACCAGCCCUUCUAAAAUAUAUUUCAUGACUGUCACCUAACACAGCAGUUUGGCCUAAUAGUUUUGACAUUGAUUUGUCAAAUCUUUGGCUUACAUUUGCUUCAGGUUGUCAGUUUUGAUAAUACAGAAAACUCAUUCAAAUUUUGAUCUGAAAUCAGGUAGGGCUACCCGCUGAACUUAAGCAUAUCAAUAAGCGGAGGCU
This 417-nucleotide unclassified non-coding RNA is filed under the name uncultured Umbelopsis. Its description in RNAcentral is "sequence contains ITS2". The stretch from base 1 to 154 matches the Rfam family "5.8S ribosomal RNA". Lineage: Eukaryota; Fungi; Mucoromycota; Umbelopsidomycetes; Umbelopsidales; Umbelopsidaceae. The record is from RNAcentral.